Molecule: ribosomal RNA, 253 nt
Filed under: uncultured bacterium
Lineage: Bacteria
Description: partial 16S ribosomal RNA
Rfam family: Bacterial small subunit ribosomal RNA
Source: RNAcentral
GACGUAGGGCGCGAGCGUUGUCCGGAUUUAUUGGGCGUAAAGAGCUCGUAGGUGGUUUGUCGCGUUGUUCGUGAAAACCGGGGGCUUAACCCUCGGCGUGCGGGCGAUACGGGCAGACUUGAGUACUGCAGGGGAGACUGGAAUUCCUGGUGUAGUGGUGGAAUGCGCAGAUAUCAGGAGGAACACCGGUGGCGAAGGCGGGUCUCUGGGCAGUAACUGACGCUGAGGAGCGAAAGCGUGGGGAGCAAACAGG